RNAcentral lists this unclassified non-coding RNA (177 nucleotides) under plant metagenome. RNAcentral's name for it is "partial contains small subunit ribosomal RNA, internal transcribed spacer 1, and 5.8S ribosomal RNA". The record is from RNAcentral.
UUUCCGUAGGUGAACCUGCGGAAGGGUCAUUACAAAAUCUGUUGGGUGGUAAGGGGGGGAAUUGGUGUAAUAACCGAUUCUCAACUCUACCCCUUUUACAUUUGCGCUUGUAUUGUUUGACAGAGUAAAUUACACACUAAGCCUAUACAACUUUUAACAAUGGAUCUCUGGGCUCUU